AGGGAAUCUUCCACAAUGGACGCAAGUCUGAUGGAGCAACGCCGCGUGAGUGAAGAAGGUUUUCGGACCGUAAAGCUCUGUUGUUGGUGAAGAAGGAUAGAGGUAGUAACUGGCCUUUAUUUGACGGUAAUCAACCAGAAAGUCACGGCUAACUACGUGCCAGCAGCCGCGGUAAUACGUAGGUGGCAAGCGUUGUCCGGAUUUAUUGGGCGUAAAGCGAGCGCAGGCGGAAGAAUAAGUCUGAUGUGAAAGCCCUCGGCUUAACCGAGGAAUUGCAUCGGAAACUGUUUUCUUGAGUGCAGAAGAGGAGAGUAGAACUCCAUGUGUAGCGGUGGAAUGCGUAGAUAUAUGGAAGAAUACCAGUGGCGAAGGCGGCUCUCUGGUCUGCAACUGACGCUGAGGCUCGAAAGCAUGGGUAGCGAACAGGAUUAGAUACCCUGAUAGUCCAUGCCGUAAACGAUGAGUGCUAAGUGUUGGGAGGCUUCCGCCUCUCAGUGCUGCAGCUAACGCAUUAAGCACUCCGCCUGGGGGAGUACGACCGCAAGGUUGAAAC
RNAcentral lists this ribosomal RNA (553 nucleotides) under uncultured bacterium. RNAcentral describes it as "partial 16S ribosomal RNA". It matches the Rfam family "Bacterial small subunit ribosomal RNA", at positions 356 to 900 of the family's 1533-position model. The record is from RNAcentral.